RNAcentral lists this ribosomal RNA (443 nucleotides) under uncultured bacterium. RNAcentral's name for it is "partial 16S ribosomal RNA". It matches the Rfam family "Bacterial small subunit ribosomal RNA", at positions 338 to 795 of the family's 1533-position model. The record is from RNAcentral.
CCUACGGGAGGCAGCAGUGGGGAAUAUUGGGCAAUGGGCGCAAGCCUGACCCAGCAACGCCGCGUGAAGGAAGAAGGCUUUCGGGUUGUAAACUUCUUUUGUCAGGGACGAAGCAAGUGACGGUACCUGACGAAUAAGCCACGGCUAACUACGUGCCAGCAGCCGCGGUAAUACGUAGGUGGCAAGCGUUAUCCGGAUUUACUGGGUGUAAAGGGCAUGUAGGGGGGAUUGGAAGUCAGAUGUGAAAACCACGGGCUCAACCGGUGGCCUGCAUUUGAAACUGUAGUUCUUGAGUACUGGGGAGGCAGACGGAAUUCCUAGUGUAGCGGUGAAAUGCUUAGAUAUUAGGAGGAACACCAGUGGCGAAGGCGGUCUGCUGGACAGCAACUGACGCUGAGGCGCGAAAGCGUGGGGAGCAAACAGGAUUAGAUACCCUAGUAGUC